GACGAACGCUGGCGGCGUGCUUAACACAUGCAAGUCGAGCGGUAAGGCCCUUUCGGGGGUACACGAGCGGCGAACGGGUGAGUAACACGUGGGUGACCUGCCCUCAGCUCUGGGAUAAGCCUGGGAAACCGGGUCUAAUACUGGAUAUGACUCCAUGACGCAUGUUGUGGGGUGGAAAGCCUUGUGCGGCUGAGGAUGGGCCCGCGGCCUAUCAGCUUGUUGGUGGGGUGANGGCCUACCAAGGCGACGACGGGUAGCCGGCCUGAGAGGGCGACCGGCCACACUGGGACUGAGACACGGCCCAGACUCCUACGGGAGGCAGCAGUGGGGAAUCUUGCGCAAGUGGGACGAAGCCUGACGCAGCGACGCCGCGU
RNAcentral lists this ribosomal RNA (374 nucleotides) under uncultured bacterium. Its description in RNAcentral is "bacterial SSU rRNA". It matches the Rfam family "Bacterial small subunit ribosomal RNA", at positions 28 to 402 of the family's 1533-position model. The record is from RNAcentral.